ACCGUCUUCAGAUGAGUGUGGUGUCCUACUUCAGAGGGUAUCAUUCAAAUAAACUAAAACGUUAUUGUCACCUUUUUGAGUAGAGUAAAACACAUCGUGUACAAUAUGUGAGGUGGC
Molecule: microRNA precursor, 117 nt
Filed under: Loxodonta africana (African savanna elephant)
Lineage: Eukaryota; Metazoa; Chordata; Mammalia; Proboscidea; Elephantidae
Description: miRNA (ENSLAFG00000032841.1)
Source: RNAcentral